Long non-coding RNA from Oncorhynchus tshawytscha (Chinook salmon), 2628 nucleotides. NCBI's taxonomy places the organism in Eukaryota, Metazoa, Chordata, Actinopteri, Salmoniformes, Salmonidae. The record is from Ensembl.
GUUUGAGUUGUUGAUGUAGUGCCAUGUUUAAGUUGUUGAUGUAGUUCCAUGUUUAAGUUGUUGAUGUAGUUCCAUGUUUAAGUUGUUGAUGUAGUGCCAUGUUUAAGUUGUUGAUGUAGUUCCAUGUUUAAGUUGUUGAUGUAGUGCCAUGUUUAAGUUGUUGAUGUAGUUCCAUGUUUAAGUUGUUGAUGUAGUUCCACGUUUAAGUUGUUGAUGUAGUUCCACGUUUAAGUUGUUGAUGUAGUGCCACGUUUAAGUUGUUGAUGUAGUUCCACGUUUAAGUUGUUGAUGUAGUGCCAUGUUUAAGUUGUUGAUGUAGUUCCACGUUUAAGUUGUUGAUGUAGUGCCAUGUUUAAGUUGUUGAUGUAGUUCCAUGUUUAAGUUGUUGAUGUAGUGCCAUGUUUAAGUUGUUGAUGUAGUGCCAUGUUUAAGUUGUUGAUGUAGUGCCAUGUUUAAGUUGUUGAUGUAGUGCCAUGUUUAAGUUGUUGAUGUAGUGCCAUGUUUAAGUUGUUGAUGUAGUUCCACGUUUAAGUUGUUGAUGUAGUUCCACGUUUAAGUUGUUGAUGUAGUUCCACGUUUAAGUUGUUGAUGUAGUGCCACGUUUAAGUUGUUGAUGUAGUGCCAUGUUUAAGUUGUUGAUGUAGUGCCAUGUUUAAGUUGUUGAUGUAGUUCCACGUUUAAGUUGUUGAUGUAGUUCCACGUUUAAGUUGUUGAUGUAGUUCCACGUUUAAGUUGUUGAUGUAGUUCCACGUUUAAGUUGUUGAUGUAGUUCCAAGUUUAAGUUGUUGAUGUAGUUCCAUGUUUAAGUUGUUGAUGUAGUUCCAUGUUUAAGUUGUUGAUGUAGUUCCAUGUUUAAGUUGUUGAUGUAUUGUCAUAUUUAUGUUCUUGCCAUAUUGCCAUUUUGAAGGAAUAGUUUCUUGAGCACACAACGGAGCAGCACUGUCUCUGUCUUUUCCGUCCCGUAGACACACCAGAAGGUUAAUAUGUCUACAUUAUUGUCUUUUCUACAGUGGAACGACAUGUUUAGUUUCUUCUUCAAUGUGUUUAAAACAAACAUGAAAUUGCCACUAUGCCAAUGCAGACCUACAAUAUACAGUAAGUGGUGCGUUCAGCAAGCCCAUUAUUUACUCAGAUCACAGUAAUCCAAGCCCAUUAUUUACUCAGAUCACAGUAAUCCAAGCCCAUUAUUUACUCACAGAUAGAUCACAGUAAUCCAAUAUCUCUAUCCAAAUGUGCCUAUAGUAUCGAAACUAUUGCAUAUCCUGAUUAGAUUUCCCUUAUGUUAUUUUGUGAGCACCAGUUCCCUUCCCAUAUUUCAUUAUUGAACAUAUAAUUCCUAAUGCCUAGAAUGAUAACUGUUUCAUAUGUACAGUAGAGCCAACUGAACAAAAAAAAGAUUUACUAAGUAUUAUCAUUGUGUCUGCAACAACAUACUUACUGUAUGUUCCUUAAAGUUUGCUAUUACACUUUUGUAUUGAAUGAGAACAAUGCACGCAUCAAAUCUAUUUUACAAAUGUAGUGACAGUAUACUGCAUGUAUGGCAAAAAAAGUCAACACUUGUUUACAAUUGAAUCAGAUGUAGGAUCUUAAUUUGAGCCAGUUUGCUACUGCAAGAAAAUAAUCAUGCAGCAACAGGAAAUGUGAAUUAAUAUGUGGAUUCUAAUAUACUUCUAGGGGAUGAUACAUUUUUCAUCAAGUCUUCAGAAGCCUUUUUAAACCACAAACGUUCUCCUGCAACAGGGCGAUCAAAUUAAGAUCCCACCUGUAUAUUUACAUUGCCUCAAGGUAUGAGCAAAUAUUCAUACUAAAGAAAGGAUGUUAUCUUUAUGUAAAGUUUGUUUUGAAUCUGUUCACUUAUUUGUUCUCAUUUAUUUUAGUUGUGAGGGAAAGUGAAGGUUGGUUAUAUUCCCCCCAUGUACAUAGACACUGUGAUUUAGAAAAUACAUGACUAAUAGUUAAUGAAAGUGAGGGUUUAUAGUUAUUUUUUAAUAAUAUUUGGUUAAAAUAUUUUUGUGUAUGGUUAGCAAAGCAAUUGAGAGAGAUUAUGCGUUUCAAAAUAACCUUUAAAACGAUCUCCACUGGAGUCUGAAAUAUUAACAUAAGCCCCAAAUGAAGACGACUUGGUAGCCAAAAGAUGUUCAGUUUGAAAUGAACCUCUUAGAUAAUGUGCAUGUUUGUGCCAAAAUGGCAACAAGUUUGGUGGUCCCUGCUCCUCAACUCACCUUACUGAUGGCCUGUGAUAGGCAGGGACUCCCUGAGUGAGCCAUUUGUUGUGUAUGACGAUGAGGAUGAUACUGUAUCUACAAUAGAAACAGCAGACACGUAGCAUGUUGCAUUCAUGUUUUUCCCUCAUAUUUAGUUCCUUAAAUAGGUCAUGUUUUUGCUUCCCCUGGUCGCUAUUUAAACCAUGACCUAGGGUGUUUACAGCCUAGAAAUAGAAUGACAUGUCAUUCUAUGUCAUUGUAUAUCUAUGCUUUACAGUGUGUACCUCCCUCUUGGUCUCUGGUUUGCAUGCUGAUAAUGAAGAAUUCUUUUCCAAACCAGACAUUGGACAUAAUUGUCGUCAUUUCUGUGGUUUGUGAAAUGCUUUGUAAUGGAUUGCCUUAAUAAAGUGACUGAAGAUUAAUG